This 112-nucleotide small RNA is filed under the name Helianthus annuus (common sunflower). Lineage: Eukaryota; Viridiplantae; Streptophyta; Magnoliopsida; Asterales; Asteraceae. The record is from RNAcentral.
UUUGGGCCUAGUUGGUUGUGGAGCAUAUGAAAACUCCAAAGUUAAGCGUGCUCAGGUGGGAGUAGUACUAUGAUGGGUGACCUCUUGGGAAGUUUCCACCGGGCAACCAAAA